GCCGUGCGCGGCCGGCGGUUCGCGGCCGGCGGUUCGCGACCGGCGGUUCGCGAUCGGGCCGCUCGCGGGCGGCCGUUCGUCGCCCGGCGUGCGCGGCG
RNAcentral lists this transfer RNA (98 nucleotides) under Burkholderia pseudomallei. RNAcentral describes it as "tRNA-Ala(cgc)". Lineage: Bacteria; Pseudomonadati; Pseudomonadota; Betaproteobacteria; Burkholderiales; Burkholderiaceae. The record is from RNAcentral.